This 231-nucleotide ribosomal RNA is filed under the name uncultured bacterium. Its description in RNAcentral is "partial 16S ribosomal RNA". It matches the Rfam family "Bacterial small subunit ribosomal RNA", at positions 99 to 334 of the family's 1533-position model. The record is from RNAcentral.
CGGACGGGUGAGUAAUGUCUGGGAAACUGCCUGAUGAGGGGGAUAACUACUGGAAACGGUAGCUAAUACCGCAUAACGUCGCAAGACCAAAGAGGGGGACCUUCGGGCCUCUUGCCAUCGGAUGUGCCCAGAUGGGAUUAGCUAGUAGGUGGGGUAAUGGCUCACCUAGGCGACGAUCCCUAGCUGGUCUGAGAGGAUGACCAGCCACACUGGAACUGAGACACGGUCCAG